GGUUAAGCGACUAAGCGUACACGGUGGAUGCCCUGGCAGUCAGAGGCGAUGAAGGACGUGCUAAUCUGCGAUAAGCGUCGGUAAGGUGAUAUGAACCGUUAUAACCGGCGAUUUCCGAAUGGGGAAACCCAGUGUGAUUCGUCACACUAUCAUUAACUGAAUCCAUAGGUUAAUGAGGCGAACCGGGGGAACUGAAACAUCUAAGUACCCCGAGGAAAAGAAAUCAACCGAGAUUCCCCCAGUAGCGGCGAGCGAACGGGGAGCAGCCCAGAGCCUGAAUCAGUGUGUGUGUUAGUGGAAGCGUCUGGAAAGGCGUGCGAUACAGGGUGACAGCCCCGUACACAAAAAUGCACAUACUGUGAGCUCGAUGAGUAGGGCGGGACACGUGGUAUCCUGUCUGAAUAUGGGGGGACCAUCCUCCAAGGCUAAAUACUCCUGACUGACCGAUAGUGAACCAGUACCGUGAGGGAAAGGCGAAAAGAACCCCGGCGAGGGGAGUGAAAAAGAACCUGAAACCGUGUACGUACAAGCAGUGGGAGCACGCUUAGGCGUGUGACUGCGUACCUUUUGUAUAAUGGGUCAGCGACUUAUAUUCUGUAGCAAGGUUAACCGAAUAGGGGAGCCGAAGGGAAACCGAGUCUUAACUGGGCGUUAAGUUGCAGGGUAUAGACCCGAAACCCGGUGAUCUAGCCAUGGGCAGGUUGAAGGUUGGGUAACACUAACUGGAGGACCGAACCGACUAAUGUUGAAAAAUUAGCGGAUGACUUGUGGCUGGGGGUGAAAGGCCAAUCAAACCGGGAGAUAGCUGGUUCUCCCCGAAAGCUAUUUAGGUAGCGCCUCGUGAAUUCAUCUCCGGGGGUAGAGCACUGUUUCGGCAAGGGGGUCAUCCCGACUUACCAACCCGAUGCAAACUGCGAAUACCGGAGAAUGUUAUUACGGGAGACACACGGCGGGUGCUAACGUCCGUCGUGAAGAGGGAAACAACCCAGACCGCCAGCUAAGGUCCCAAAGUCAUGGUUAAGUGGGAAACGAUGUGGGAAGGCCCAGACAGCCAGGAUGUUGGCUUAGAAGCAGCCAUCAUUUAAAGAAAGCGUAAUAGCUCACUGGUCGAGUCGGCCUGCGCGGAAGAUGUAACGGGGCUAAACCAUGCACCGAAGCUGCGGCAGCGACGCUUAUGCGUUGUUGGGUAGGGGAGCGUUCUGUAAGCCUGUGAAGGUGUGCUGUGAGGUAUGCUGGAGGUAUCAGAAGUGCGAAUGCUGACAUAAGUAACGAUAAAGCGGGUGAAAAGCCCGCUCGCCGGAAGACCAAGGGUUCCUGUCCAACGUU
This 1326-nucleotide ribosomal RNA is filed under the name Shigella flexneri. RNAcentral's name for it is "partial 23S ribosomal RNA". It matches the Rfam family "Bacterial large subunit ribosomal RNA", at positions 1 to 1366 of the family's 2925-position model. Lineage: Bacteria; Pseudomonadati; Pseudomonadota; Gammaproteobacteria; Enterobacterales; Enterobacteriaceae. The record is from RNAcentral.